UACGGAGGAUCCGAGCGUUAUCCGGAUUUAUUGGGUUUAAAGGGUGCGCAGGCGGAAGAUUAAGUCGGUGGUGAAAUUUUGCAGCUCAACUGUAAAAGUGCCUUCGAAACUGGUUUCCUUGAGUGUAGAUGAAGUAGGCGGAAUUUGUGGUGUAGCGGUGAAAUGCAUAGAUAUCACGAGGAACUCCGAUUGCGCAGGCAGCUUACUAAACUACUACUGACGCUCAGGCACGAAGGCGUGGGGAUCAAACAGGAUUAGAUACCCCGGUAGUCCCU
RNAcentral lists this ribosomal RNA (275 nucleotides) under uncultured prokaryote. Its description in RNAcentral is "partial 16S ribosomal RNA". It matches the Rfam family "Bacterial small subunit ribosomal RNA", at positions 524 to 798 of the family's 1533-position model. The record is from RNAcentral.